RNAcentral lists this ribosomal RNA (692 nucleotides) under Shewanella xiamenensis. Its description in RNAcentral is "bacterial SSU rRNA". It matches the Rfam family "Bacterial small subunit ribosomal RNA", at positions 64 to 748 of the family's 1533-position model. The record is from RNAcentral. Lineage: Bacteria; Pseudomonadati; Pseudomonadota; Gammaproteobacteria; Alteromonadales; Shewanellaceae.
CGGCAGCACAAGGGAGUUUACUCCUGAGGUGGCGAGCGGCGGACGGGUGAGUAAUGCCUAGGGAUCUGCCCAGUCGAGGGGGAUAACAGUUGGAAACGACUGCUAAUACCGCAUACGCCCUACGGGGGAAAGAGGGGGACCUUCGGGCCUCUCGCGAUUGGAUGAACCUAGGUGGGAUUAGCUAGUUGGUGAGGUAAUGGCUCACCAAGGCGACGAUCCCUAGCUGUUCUGAGAGGAUGAUCAGCCACACUGGGACUGAGACACGGCCCAGACUCCUACGGGAGGCAGCAGUGGGGAAUAUUGCACAAUGGGGGAAACCCUGAUGCAGCCAUGCCGCGUGUGUGAAGAAGGCCUUCGGGUUGUAAAGCACUUUCAGUAGGGAGGAAAGGGUGAGUCUUAAUACGGCUCAUCUGUGACGUUACCUACAGAAGAAGGACCGGCUAACUCCGUGCCAGCAGCCGCGGUAAUACGGAGGGUCCGAGCGUUAAUCGGAAUUACUGGGCGUAAAGCGUGCGCAGGCGGUUUGUUAAGCGAGAUGUGAAAGCCCUGGGCUCAACCUAGGAAUAGCAUUUCGAACUGGCGAACUAGAGUCUUGUAGAGGGGGGUAGAAUUCCAGGUGUAGCGGUGAAAUGCGUAGAGAUCUGGAGGAAUACCGGUGGCGAAGGCGGCCCCCUGGACAAAGACUGACGCUC